RNAcentral lists this ribosomal RNA (155 nucleotides) under Poa annua. Its description in RNAcentral is "5.8S ribosomal RNA". It matches the Rfam family "5.8S ribosomal RNA". From Rfam's summary of the family: 5.8S ribosomal RNA (5.8S rRNA) is a component of the large subunit of the eukaryotic ribosome. It is transcribed by RNA polymerase I as part of the 45S precursor that also contains 18S and 28S rRNA. Lineage: Eukaryota; Viridiplantae; Streptophyta; Magnoliopsida; Poales; Poaceae. The record is from RNAcentral.
CCACACGACUCUCGGCAACGGAUAUCUCGGCUCUCGCAUCGAUGAAGAACGUAGCGAAAUGCGAUACCUGGUGUGAAUUGCAGAAUCCCGCGAACCAUCGAGUCUUUGAACGCAAGUUGCGCCCGAGGCCACUUGGCCGAGGGCACGCCUGCCUG